ACUCGAGUGGCGAACGGGUGAGUAACACGUGGGUGAUCUGCCCUGCACUUCGGGAUAAGCCUGGGAAACUGGGUCUAAUACCGGAUAGGAGCCAUUUUUAGUGUGAUGGUUGGAAAGUUUUUCGGUGUAGGAUGAGCUCGCGGCCUAUCAGCUUUUUGGUGGGGUAGUGGCUUACCAAGGCUUUGACGGGUAGCCGGCCUGAGAGGGUGACCGGCCACAUUGGGACUGAGAUACGGCCCAG
RNAcentral lists this ribosomal RNA (241 nucleotides) under uncultured Actinomycetales bacterium. RNAcentral's name for it is "partial 16S ribosomal RNA". It matches the Rfam family "Bacterial small subunit ribosomal RNA", at positions 89 to 334 of the family's 1533-position model. Lineage: Bacteria; Bacillati; Actinomycetota; Actinomycetes; Actinomycetales. The record is from RNAcentral.